UUAACACAUGCAAGUCGAACGAGAUCUUCGGAUCUAGUGGCAGACGGGUGAGUAACGCGUGGGAACCUGCCCAGUAGUAGAGAAUAACUUGAGGAAACUUAAGCUAAUACUUUAUACACCCUCCGGGGAAAAGCUUUAUGCGCUAUUGGAUGGGCCCGCGUUAGAUUAGUUUGUUGGUGAGGUAAUGGCUCACCAAGACUACGAUCUAUAGCUGGUCUGAGAGGAUGAUCAGCCACACUGGGACUGAGACACGGCCCAGACUCCUACGGGAGGCAGCAGUGGGGAAUAUUGGACAAUGGGGGCAACCCUGAUCCAGCGAUGCCGCGUGAGUGAUGAAGGCCUUCGGGUUGUAAAACUCUUUCGUCAGGGAAGAUAAUGACGGUACCUGAAGAAGAAGAUCCGGCUAACUCCGUGCCAGCAGCCGCGGUAAUACGGAGGGAUCUAGCGUUAUUCGGAAUUACUGGGCGUAAAGCGAGCGUAGGCGGAUUUGUAAGUUGGAGGUGAAAUCCCAGAGCUUAACUCUGGAACUGCCUUCAAAACUACAUUUCUUGAGUUUGGUAGAGGAGAGUGGAAUUCCUAGUGUAGAGGUGAAAUUCGUAGAUAUUAGGAGGAACACCAGUGGCGAAGGCGACUCUCUGGGCCAAUACUGACGCUGAGGUUCGAAAGCAUGGGUAGCGAACAGGAUUAGAUACCCUGGUAGUCCAUGCAGUAAACGAUGAGUGCUAGAUGUUGGGAAUUUAAAUUUCCAGUAUCGCAGUUAACGCGUUAAGCACUCCGCCU
RNAcentral lists this ribosomal RNA (780 nucleotides) under uncultured Alphaproteobacteria bacterium. Its description in RNAcentral is "bacterial SSU rRNA". It matches the Rfam family "Bacterial small subunit ribosomal RNA", at positions 48 to 874 of the family's 1533-position model. Lineage: Bacteria; Pseudomonadati; Pseudomonadota; Alphaproteobacteria. The record is from RNAcentral.